AUGGCCGACGCGGGUCAAAGUGUAGUAUCUGUUCUUAUCAACUUAAUAUCUGAUACGGGUUGUAUUUGGACCCAAGAUAUCAAACUUAAUUUUGCAAGUUGGCGGAGUGCGUGAAGGCCCGUUUCACCUCCGCCUCGGUUCGUCCCGGUAUUGCACAAUCUUCGGGAUAUUUGGUCUACGGACA
Molecule: small nuclear RNA, 184 nt
Organism: Dermacentor silvarum
Lineage: Eukaryota; Metazoa; Arthropoda; Arachnida; Ixodida; Ixodidae
Product: U2 spliceosomal RNA
Exons: 1
Source: RefSeq, a predicted model, not a curated record